Molecule: ribosomal RNA, 447 nt
Filed under: uncultured bacterium
Lineage: Bacteria
Description: partial 16S ribosomal RNA
Rfam family: Bacterial small subunit ribosomal RNA
Source: RNAcentral
CCAGACUCCUACGGGAGGCAGCAGUGGGGACUCUUGGGCAAUGGGCGCCGGCCUGACCCCGCCACGCCGCGUGCAGGCAGAAGGCCCUCGGGUUGUAAACUUCUUUUAUUCGGGACGAAACAAAUGACGGUCCCUAAUGAAUAAGCCACGGCUAACUACGUGCCAGCAGCCGCGGUAAUACGUAGGUGGCAAGCGUUAUCCGGAUUUACUGGGUGUAAAGGGCGUGUAGGCGGGAGAGCAAGUCAGACGUGAAAUUCCAGGGCUCAACCCUGGAACUGCGUGUGAAACUGUUCUUCUUGAGUGAUCGAGAGGCAGGCGUAAUUCCGUGUGUAGCGGUGAAAUGCGUAGAUAUCAGGAGGAACACCGGCGGCGAAGGCGGCCUGCUGGACCGUAACUGACGUUGAGGCUCGACAGCGUGUGGAGCAAACAGGAUUUGAUACCCGAGUA